AUUGAACGCUGGCGGCAUGCUUUACACAUGCAAGUCGAACGGUAACAGGCCUUCGGGUGCUGACGCGUGGCGAACGGGUGAGUAAUGCAUCGGAACGUGCCCAGAGGUGGGGGAUAACGCAGCGACAGCUGUGCUAAUACCGCAUGUGAUCUGAGGAUGAAAGCGGGGGACCAGGCAGCAAUGUUUGGCCUCGCGCCUUUGGAGCGGCCGAUGUCAGAUUAGGUAGUUGGUGGGGUAAAGGCCUACCAAGCCGACGAUCUGUAGCUGGUCUGAGAGGACGACCAGCCACACUGGAAGUGAGACACGGCCCAGACUCCUGCGGGAGGCAGCAGUGGGGAAUGUUGGGCAAUGGGCGCGAGCAUGAUCCAGCAAUGCGGCGUGCGAGAAGAAGGCCUUCGGGUUGUAAACCGCUUUUGUACGGAACGAAAAGGCUCUGGCUAAUACCUGGGGCUGAUGACGGUACCGGAAGAAUAAGCACCGGCUAACUACGUG
Molecule: ribosomal RNA, 492 nt
Filed under: uncultured bacterium
Lineage: Bacteria
Description: partial 16S ribosomal RNA
Rfam family: Bacterial small subunit ribosomal RNA
Source: RNAcentral